CAGAAGGUGCAAGCGUUACUCGGAAUUACUGGGCGUAAAGCGUCUGUAGGUGUCUUUCCACGUCUGACUUAAAAUCGCGGGGCUCAACCCCGCGCUCGAGUUGGAAACGAGAAAGAUCGAGUCAUUCAGAGGCAUCUGGAAUGUCAUGUGUAGGGGUAAAAUCCGUAGAUACAUGAUGGAACGCCAAAAGCGAAGGCAGGAUGCUAGGAAUGUACUGACACUCAGAGACGAAAGCGUGGGGAGCAAAGGGGAUUAGAUAGCCCCGUAGUCCACGCCCUCAACGAUGCGAGCUCGGUGUGGGAAUUUUCAAUCAGUUCCCGUGCCCUAAGCUUACGCGGUAAGCUCGCCGCCUGGGAAGUACGGCCGCAAGGCUA
Molecule: ribosomal RNA, 374 nt
Filed under: uncultured organism
Description: bacterial SSU rRNA
Rfam family: Bacterial small subunit ribosomal RNA
Source: RNAcentral